This is a long non-coding RNA of Neopsephotus bourkii (Bourke's parrot), 517 nucleotides long. RefSeq lists it as uncharacterized. The record is from RefSeq and is a predicted model, not a curated record. The transcript is spliced from 3 exons. Lineage: Eukaryota; Metazoa; Chordata; Aves; Psittaciformes; Psittacidae.
GAUUGCAGGACCAUGGGCGCCUUGUCACCCUCUCCUCAUGAGAUGUCCACCUACCAAGGCACCGCGGGCAGCACUGCUGGGGGUCCGUGAUGGAGCUGGCACAUUGCAGAGCUGGGCACUGGAUCCGGUAGCACCUGAUGUUGGCAUUCUGGGGAGAGAUAGAGACAGAGAAGGUUCAUUCAGCUCCAUGUUCACCCCUGCAAGAGGAGGGAGAUGUUGGAUAAUGGGCACGUUAUCACAACAGAUUGUGCUGGUGUAGCUCACCCAGCUAUGGAGGUCUCCAUCCUCAGGUCAACCCAGCCAUGGAGGUCUCCAUCCCCAGGUCAAACCCAACCAGCUCAUGGUCUCAUCAUCAAAUACCACCCAUGGUCCCACUGCAGCCCGGAGCCUACAGCCCACCAACACUACUGAGAUAGCUCCCUCAUAAGGUGACCCCACCACCCUAUGGUGACAGGGGGUAUUUUCAAAGGGAAAUAGAUGAAUCCAAUGUCCUUAUGGGACUGGAAAGGGCUUUUCU